Molecule: long non-coding RNA, 557 nt
Filed under: Struthio camelus australis
Lineage: Eukaryota; Metazoa; Chordata; Aves; Struthioniformes; Struthionidae
Description: lncRNA (ENSSCUG00000005876.1)
Source: RNAcentral
UGGGACUGCUGAAGCAAAAACCUCAUGCCUGUGACUGCCCUGGUCUGUAUGGAGAGAUGAUCCACGUGGACGUUGGCAUGGCAAGUAGUAAAGGAUUAGUAGCAGGCAGCCUCAGCUGUUGGCUUGAGCUUUGCAGAGGGAGAUACUGAAAGAAGAACAAGCCUGGUAUUGCAAGGAGGUAAAAGGCUGGGACAGAAUUGAAAUGGAUGCUGGAGAACAGGCAGAGGCAAUAUAGUGCUGAUGUAUGGUGCCAAACCAACAGCACUGGCAUCCUAGUCCUCACUUUUACUUGUGGAACGUGUGCAGGCAAGGAACAUCUUUUCCCUUCGCCUUGUGGAGUUGCCUGGCGGCAGGAGGAGGCCCGUUCCUGUCUCUUUAUCCUGAGGCUUCCUACUUUCCCUCCCUUUUAUUUACCACCUCUUUCUGUGAACAACUUUGAAAUGGAAAAACAGCCAGUUGGGAACACCUGCCUAUCGACAUUUUCUAUGUUGUUUGCCCAAGACUGGCGAACUCUGAGGCCGUGGGCAGAAGGUAAGUUCUCCAUUUGAUUGAUUAAA